GGGCGACUAGCUCAGUUGGUUAGAGCGCACGGUUCACAUCCGUGAGGCCAGAGGUUCGAGUCCUCUGUCGCCCA
Molecule: transfer RNA, 74 nt
Filed under: Pseudomonadota bacterium
Lineage: Bacteria; Pseudomonadati; Pseudomonadota
Also listed under: 1 other name
Description: tRNA-Val
Rfam family: tRNA
About the family: Transfer RNA (tRNA) molecules are approximately 80 nucleotides in length. Their secondary structure includes four short double-helical elements and three loops (D, anti-codon, and T loops).
Source: RNAcentral